This 76-nucleotide transfer RNA is filed under the name Proteus mirabilis. RNAcentral describes it as "tRNA-Lys". It matches the Rfam family "tRNA". From Rfam's summary of the family: Transfer RNA (tRNA) molecules are approximately 80 nucleotides in length. Their secondary structure includes four short double-helical elements and three loops (D, anti-codon, and T loops). Lineage: Bacteria; Pseudomonadati; Pseudomonadota; Gammaproteobacteria; Enterobacterales; Morganellaceae. The record is from RNAcentral.
GGGUUGUUAGCUCAGUUGGUAGAGCAGUUGACUCUUAAUCAAUUGGUCGGGGGUUCGAGUCCCCCACAACCCACCA